RNAcentral lists this ribosomal RNA (425 nucleotides) under Enterobacter cloacae complex sp. 2DZ2F20B. Its description in RNAcentral is "bacterial SSU rRNA". It matches the Rfam family "Bacterial small subunit ribosomal RNA", at positions 347 to 788 of the family's 1533-position model. The record is from RNAcentral. Lineage: Bacteria; Pseudomonadati; Pseudomonadota; Gammaproteobacteria; Enterobacterales; Enterobacteriaceae.
GGCUGCAGUGGGGAAUAUUGCACAAUGGGGGAAACCCUGAUGCAGCGACGCCGCGUGAGUGAAGAAGUAUUUCGGUAUGUAAAGCUCUAUCAGCAGGAACGAGACAAGACGGUACCUGACUAAGAAGCCCCGGCUAACUACGUGCCAGCAGCCGCGGUAAUACGUAGGGGGCAAGCGUUAUCCGGAAUCACUGGGUGUAAAGGGAGCGUAGACGGCUGAGCAAGCCUGAAGUGAAAGGCGGGGGCCCAACCCCCGGACUGCUUUGGGAACUGUACGGCUGGAGUGCAGGAGAGGUAAGUGGAAUUCCUAGUGUAGCGGUGAAAUGCGUAGAUAUUAGGAGGAACACCAGUGGCGAAGGCGGCUUACUGGACUGUAACUGACGUUGAGGCUCGAAAGCGUGGGGAGCAAACAGGAUUAGAUACCCU